AUUGAACGCUGGCGGCAGGCCUAACACAUGCAAGUCGAGCGAGCGGCGGACGGGUGAGUAAUGUAUGGGGAUCUGCCCGAUGGAGGGGGAUAACUACUGGAAACGGUAGCUAAUACCGCAUACUAUCGGAUGCACCCAGAUGGGAUUAGCUAGUAGGUGGGGUAAAGGCUCACCUAGGCGACGAUCUCUAGCUGGUCUGAGAGGAUGAUCAGCCACACUGGGACUGAGACACGGCCCAGACUCCUACGGGAGGCAGCAGUGGGGAAUAGUGCACAAUGGGCGCAAGCCUGAUGCAGCCAUGCCGCGUGUAUGAAGAAGGCCUUAGGGUUGUAAAGUACUUUCAGCGGGGAGGCGUUACCCGCAGAAGAAGCACCGGCUAACUCCGUGCCAGCAGCCGCGGUAAUAC
RNAcentral lists this ribosomal RNA (406 nucleotides) under uncultured bacterium. RNAcentral describes it as "partial 16S ribosomal RNA". It matches the Rfam family "Bacterial small subunit ribosomal RNA", at positions 30 to 526 of the family's 1533-position model. The record is from RNAcentral.